Micropterus salmoides (largemouth bass) is the source of this 335-nucleotide long non-coding RNA. RefSeq lists it as uncharacterized. The record is from RefSeq and is a predicted model, not a curated record. The transcript has 2 exons. NCBI's taxonomy places the organism in Eukaryota, Metazoa, Chordata, Actinopteri, Centrarchiformes, Centrarchidae.
CUGAAUACUUUCCGUACCCACUGUAUUUAUAGUUGACCGGGAAAUGACGUGAUAUUGAAAAGCCAUGGAUUUAUAGUUGACCAGGAAAUACUGUAUGAUUGAAAAGUCAAUGCAGCAUUAUUGACCGGGAGACCAUCGUUUGGUGGAUCAACGUUCCUGAACCCCACACAUCUCCAAGUCCACAUCAGAUGCCCUGACUGAACCAUUGGGGACAGAAGUCUUUGACUUUGCCUAGGCAGCACAAAAAUGGAUUCCUAUGCUCCAGACCUGAUGGGUGAACAGGAGUAGAGAAUAAUUUUUUUUAUUCCAUAAUUAAACUUGUAUUUUUUAACUGA